RNAcentral lists this long non-coding RNA (534 nucleotides) under Trifolium pratense (red clover). RNAcentral's name for it is "long non-coding RNA (TPRA_LNC010335)". The record is from RNAcentral. Lineage: Eukaryota; Viridiplantae; Streptophyta; Magnoliopsida; Fabales; Fabaceae.
UCUUCAGUUCCUUGGUCCCAAAGGAAGUUCUCCAACGGCUAGUUGAUUCAAAAUAGACAGCUCAUGUUGAGUUGUUGAGUGGAUAAGCUCAAACUGAUCUUUCUCAGAACGUUCUCCCUGCUGUUCUUCAUAUUUUCACUUUAAAGGGCCAAAAUGACAGCUUGCAAUGGGCUGUAGAUAGUUGUUCAUUGCUUCCUCACCAAGUAUAUCUGUUAUAGAUCAUUUAGGCACGUUUUGGCCAGCUGUAGAUGAGCUUGCAACUUCAAAAGCAAAGGACAGUCAUUCUCAGCAUCAUUCUGAGAUCGUUCUCCAAUCUGGGCGAUUUUUUGCACUUGAUCUUCAAAUGGAGAAUGAUGCAGACCUGUGGCCAGCUGUAGUGUGAAGGGAAUGCAGCUGUGAUGUCCUUGCAUAACUAUUCACUUGUCCUUUCCAUGUACUUCCUUUUCUUGAUUAAAAAUUAAUCUCUUGGAGAAUGUUCAUUAAAUAAUGACAUUGAAGGUACAUGACAACUAUGAGUUGAAUGUGUGUUGUCUC